Molecule: non-coding RNA, 109 nt
Organism: Acanthosepion pharaonis
Lineage: Eukaryota; Metazoa; Mollusca; Cephalopoda; Sepiida; Sepiidae
Source: the annotation of a GenBank genome assembly
UUACGGCCAUAUUACGUUGAAACACCGGUUUUCAUACGAUCACCGAAGUUAAGCAACUUCAAGCUUUGUCCGUACUUAGAUGGGUGACCACUUGGGAAUAGCAGUUGCU